Molecule: long non-coding RNA, 1427 nt
Organism: Motacilla alba alba
Lineage: Eukaryota; Metazoa; Chordata; Aves; Passeriformes; Motacillidae
Exons: 3
Source: RefSeq, a predicted model, not a curated record
CUCCCCUCAGGCAGCGCGCGCGGGCAACGGCGGAGCGGGAGAGCCCCGGGCGGUGCGGGAGACGAGGAGAGCAGACGGGAGAAGAGAGGAGAGGAGAGGAGAGCAGCCGCUGCCUCGCCCCUCUCGCUCUUCCUCUCGGUUGCACUGAGGCCAGAGCUAACCCAGAGCUGCAGAGCUGAUCCAAAGGACCUUAUUGUUUGGGGAAAAGCUCCCAGGAACUUCACUACAGCCUGGACCUGUUCUUUAGACCUGCCUGCUGCAAACCAGCUCGUGCUUAUGUUUGUAGUGGCAUUCCCGUGCCUUUUGGGGCUUGUAGGCAUCCUGGCUUCUCAGUCUGGGGGCUCUGCUCACCCCUCUCCAGAUGAAGAGGGGACACUCCAGAUGAAGAGGGGACACUGAAGAUCCAAAAGCCCUGCAGGCACUGACAUUUCUGGGCGUGAGGAGCCAGGGUGGCCUCACCAACUGGUGUGUCCAGGCUCUCAGAACUACAAAGAAUGAGUCAGAAGAGCUGAGUCCCAAUUCUGCCUCUGCCCAUGAUUCUCUGCAUCAUCAUAUUCCCUCUCAGCUUCCUCAGCUGAAAAACAGGAGUCAUAAUAUUUCCUUACUUACAAAAGCUGUUAGGAGGAUUAUUGCAUUGUUGUGAAUUCCACAGAUGAAAGGUACUACAGAAGAACAAACUGCAAUUAUUGUUUCAAACCUCUGCCCUAAUCCUGUCAUCCUUAACUUACUGAAUAACACUUACUCAAUCGAGGAAAUCCUGCCACUACACUGAAGAUGAUCACUGGAAAAGAUGACUCCCUGUUGUAAUAAGAGCAUUUAUCCCCUUGUGUUCGACACCCUUCUGCCUGACACUGGAGUGAUCUGAGUCAUGUAAUCUCCCCUUGCAGAGGGAAUCUGUGGUUUUGAUAGUGGAACAGGCACAGGUAAAAAUCAGAAGCUUGCAGGAAGUACCUAUGGCAAAGCUCAGGAAAACUGGUGCUCCCAGCAGUCCCUGAUUCCUGCUAAAUGCUGUUGGGUGCAGUCACACAAGGCACUGAGUGUUGCCCAUCCUCCCAAAACUCAUCUGUCCCACAAAGCAUCUCCUUUUCUGCUUCCAUCCCCUCUUAAUUUCAAAACACUCAGCACUCCAUGAGCAGAGAGGCUCAAGUGCCGGUGUUUAACAGCCCUGAAAACCACUCUGGUUUUGCACAAAUAACAUUUUUCUUGUUGAAGCCUGUGCACAAAGCUUCUGAGAAGGAUGUAGGUACCAGUGGGCAUUACAGGAUAAAAGUACUGUAACAGCCAGGAAUAAAUACAUGGCAGAUGUUCAUUAACAAGACACUAAUUGGGUAACUGGAGGUGCAGCGUAAAAGACCACAGAGGCCAAUCGAGAAGCGUUGGGUGAAUCUAGGAUGCUCCUCUGAGCUCGGGGAGCAGGAGGAAAUAAA